RNAcentral lists this ribosomal RNA (460 nucleotides) under uncultured bacterium. RNAcentral describes it as "partial 16S ribosomal RNA". It matches the Rfam family "Bacterial small subunit ribosomal RNA", at positions 338 to 795 of the family's 1533-position model. The record is from RNAcentral.
CCUACGUGAGGCAGCAGUGAGGAAUAUUGGUCAAUGGGCGCGAGCCUGAACCAGCCAAGUAGCGUGAAGGAUGACUGCCCUACGGGUUGUAAACUUCUUUUAUAAAGGAAUAAAGUGAGGCACGUGUGUCUUUUUGUAUGUACUUUAUGAAUAAGGAUCGGCUAACUCCGUGCCAGCAGCCGCGGUAAUACGGAGGAUCCGAGCGUUAGCCGGUUUUAUUGGGUUUAAAGGGAGCGUAGAUGGGUUGUUAAGUUAGUUGUGAAAGUUUGCGGCGCAACCGUAAAAUUGCAAUGGAUACUGGCAGUCUUGAGUACAGUUGAGGUAGGCGGAAUUCGUGGUGUAGCGGUGAAAUGCUUAGAUAUCACGAAGAACUCCGAUUGCGAAGGCAGCUUACUAAACUGCCACUGACAUUGAUGCUCGAAAGUGUGGGUAUCAAACAGGAUUAGAUACCCGGGUAGUC